GACGAACGCUGGCGGCGUGCUUAACACAUGCAAGUCGAACGGAAAGGCCCUGCUUUUGUGGGGUGCUCGAGUGGCGAACGGGUGAGUAACACGUGAGUAACCUGCCCUUGACUUUGGGAUAACUUCAGGAAACUGGGGCUAAUACCGGAUAGGAGCUCCUGCUGCAUGGUGGGGGUUGGAAAGUUUCGGCGGUUGGGGAUGGACUCGCGGCUUAUCAGCUUGUUGGUGGGGUAGUGGCUUACCAAGGCUUUGACGGGUAGCCGGCCUGAGAGGGUGACCGGCCACAGUGGGACUAAGUUCGGGCCAAGCCCCCGAGGGGAGGCAACAGGGGGAAAUAUGCCAGAGGGGGGGGAGGCCUGAUCCAGCAGCCCCGGGGGGGGAAGGACGGCCUGGGGUUUGAAAACCGCUUUCGCCUGUAACAAAGCGGGAGUGACGUUAAUGGAUAAAAAAGCCCCGGCUACCUACGUG
This 468-nucleotide ribosomal RNA is filed under the name uncultured bacterium. RNAcentral describes it as "partial 16S ribosomal RNA". It matches the Rfam family "Bacterial small subunit ribosomal RNA", at positions 28 to 507 of the family's 1533-position model. The record is from RNAcentral.